CCAGCACUUCAACAUAGCAUGUUUCCUUAAUGAUCAGAGAUAGGUGGAGCUGUAGCACCAGGAAAUACAAGCAGACAGUUAUUGUUUCUGGUUUAGAGAGGAGAGAGGAGGCAGGUGUUUGUCUUUGUGUAGAAGUCAAACAAACUCCUCCGGCUCUUCUCAGUCGACCCGGAGGAACAGUCCAGCUGGUCUGCACACAUAACAAGACCGACUUCACAGUCAUGCAGUGGUACCAGAAAACUCCUGGAGACAACACUCUGAAACGCAUCGGACAUGUGUCUUACAGCACCAUCGAGCCAGAGGAGCCCUUCAAGAAGCAUUUUAACAUCAAGGGAGAUAUGAUUGGAGAGAAAGUAAAGAACGGUUCUCUGGUUAUAGCCGACCUGAAGGCACCAGAUCACAACGCAGUGUAUUACUGUGCAGCUAGCUAUGCACACUGACUGCUAAUCCCCUCUCAUUGAUACAAAAACUCUAAACCAACUCUGAUGGUUUGAUAUUAGAAAAGAAAGAGACCACACACAGACAGCUGCUCCAGGUUAUCUGUCACAUCCUGUUAACAGUGAUGC
Molecule: non-coding RNA, 566 nt
Organism: Labrus bergylta (ballan wrasse)
Lineage: Eukaryota; Metazoa; Chordata; Actinopteri; Labriformes; Labridae
Source: the annotation of a RefSeq genome assembly